GAUAUCACCGGGCUUGUAGUCAGCAAAGGCUCCUGUAUGUGCAAGACCAGCUUCGCAGGCGACGAUGCCUCCGGGGCCGUCUUCCCAUCCAUCGUGGGGCGCCCCAGGCACCAAGGUGUGAUGGUGGGCAUGGGUCAGAAGGACUCCUAGUGGGUGACGAGGCCCAGAGCAAGAGAAGCAUCCUGACCCUGAACUAGAACGACAUGGAAGAUUGGGCACCACACCUUCUACAACCAGCUGCCUGUGGCUCCUAAGGAGCACCCCGUGCUGCUGACCGAGACUCCCUCAACCCCAAGGCCAACCACGAGAAGAUGAACUAGAUCACGUUUGAGACCUUCAGCACCCCAGUCAUGUACGUGGCCAUCCAGGCCGUGCUGUCCCUGUGGGCCUCUGGCCGUACCACUGGCACGGUGAUGGACUCUGGUGAAGGGUCACCCACACUGUGCCCAUCUAUGAGGGGUAUGCCCUCUACCACGCCAUCCUGCAUCUGGACCUGGCUGGCCGUGGAGUGACUAACUACCUCAUGAACAUCCUCACCCAGCGCCUACAGCUUCACCACCACUGCCAAGCAGGAAAUUGUGGAUGACAUCAAGGAGAAGCUGUGCUAGGUCGCCCUGGACUUGGAUCAGGAGAUGGCCAUGCUUGGCCUCCAGCUCCUUCCUGGAGAAGAGCUAUGAGCUACCCUACAUCCAGGUCAUCACCAUCUGCAACCAGCUGUUCUGCUGCCCCAAGGCGCUCUUCCAGCCUUCCUUCCUGGGCAUGAAAUCCUGUGGCAUCCACGAAACUACCUUCAACUCUAUCAUGAAGUGUGACAUGGACAUCCACAAAGACCUGUACGUCAACACAGUGCUGUCUGGCAGCACCACCAUGUAUCCUAGCAUCGCCAACAGGAUGUAGGAGAUCACUGCCCUGGCGCCCAGCACCACGAAGCUCAAGAUCACUGCUCCUCCGAGCGCAAGUACUCCCUGUGGAUCGGCAGCCCCAUCCUGGCCUCCUUUCCACCUUCCAGCAGAUGUGGAUCAGCAAGCAGGAGUAUGACGAGUCCGGCCCCUCCAUUGUCCACUGCAAAUGCUU
Molecule: long non-coding RNA, 1074 nt
Filed under: Homo sapiens (human)
Lineage: Eukaryota; Metazoa; Chordata; Mammalia; Primates; Hominidae
Description: non-protein coding lnc-TBL1XR1-16:1
Source: RNAcentral